UACGGGGGGGGCAAGCGUUGUUCGGAAUUACUGGGCGUAAAGGGCUCGUAGGCGGCCAACUAAGUCAGACGUGAAAUCCCCAGGCUUAACCUGGGAACUGCGUCUGAUACUGGAUGGCUUGAGAUUGGGAGAGGGAUGCGGAAUUCCAGGUGUAGCGGUGAAAUGCGUAGAUAUCUGGAGGAACACCGGUGGCGAAGGCGGCAUCCUGGACCGAAACUGACACUGAGGCACGAAAGCGUGGGGAUCAAACAGG
Molecule: ribosomal RNA, 253 nt
Filed under: uncultured bacterium
Lineage: Bacteria
Description: partial 16S ribosomal RNA
Rfam family: Bacterial small subunit ribosomal RNA
Source: RNAcentral